RNAcentral lists this long non-coding RNA (883 nucleotides) under Felis catus (domestic cat). RNAcentral's name for it is "lncRNA (ENSFCAG00000052188.1)". Lineage: Eukaryota; Metazoa; Chordata; Mammalia; Carnivora; Felidae. The record is from RNAcentral.
UGCACACAUGACCAUGGGAAGGCAUUAGAAAGUUAUGUAACUCGCCAGUAGAGAAUACACAUCAGUUACACCUAAAGGUUAAGUGCAUUCUGGAGGUCAGAAAAAGUGAUGAGUGAAUAAUUGAGGAGUCUACAUCUGGGAACCAAAAACAUGAGAGAGAGAGAUAGAAAGAGACAGAGACACAGACACAGACAGACAGAUGAUGGAUGCUUCCAGAGAUCCUCUCAACUUGGCUGGGAGCUUCUUUGUCCAUGCUGUAAGACGGGCAUCUUGAGGAACACGCAAGGAAAGGAGAAUGAAGGCAUCUCACACGCAAGAUGGUCCAGAUGCCCCCUGGAAGAGGCAUCUUCGUCUUCAACAGAUUGAGGACAGUUGGCUGCCAUUCACUGCUUGCGAAGGGAAAAAGGCUUAAACUUCAGGUAAACCCCACAGUGAUCUCUUUGGUACCCACAUAUUUAUGACAUAAUCGUUCUCUUGCUGGUCUCUGUGUGUUUUUCUCCAGUGACGUGGUGGGAGACGGUUUGGGGGUGCUGUUACCUGUCUGUGGGGAGAAGUAGGCCAGAAUGGGGGGAAGUGUGGCUGGAGGGCCCUGGUCCUUCCCCAGAUGCCAUUUGCCGGUGGUCCCGAGACUUUGGGCAGGACGUUAUCUUCAGUUUUUUCCUCUAUAAAGUGACAGGAAGCCUAAACCCUUUGUCAGGCUGAUGAGCAAUGAAACGAGAUAGGCUUGGGAGCAUUUUGUGCAGUGCCUAGUAUGGAGUGAGUGCUGCGGAUCAAAUUGGCAUAAUUUUGGAGGGUCCUUGUUUCAAGGGUAUUUUUAUUUUGUUUAUGAGGCAACAUCUUCUUGUAGGAACCUCCCCAAAGAAGUGAUUCCCCCUCAAGUUAU